Molecule: ribosomal RNA, 494 nt
Filed under: uncultured bacterium
Lineage: Bacteria
Description: partial 16S ribosomal RNA
Rfam family: Bacterial small subunit ribosomal RNA
Source: RNAcentral
GACGAACGCUGGCGGCGCGCUUAACACAUGCAAGUCGAACGGAAAGGCCUGCUUUCCCUUGUGGAUUGCGGGUACUCGAGUGGCGAACGGGUGAGUAACACGUGAGUGAUCUGCCCCCAACUUGGGUAUAAGCCUGGGAAACUGGGUCUAAUUCCCGAUAGGACUGCAGGGUGGUGCCUGUGGUGGAACACGAUUUUCUAGUGGUUGGGGAUGAGCUCGCGGCCUAUCAGCUUGUUGGUGGGGUAAUGGCCUACCAAGGCGGCGACGGGUAGCCGGCCUGAGAGGGUGGACGGCCACAUUGGGACUGAGAUACGGCCCAGACUCCUACGGGAGGCAGCAGUGGGGAAUAGUGCACAAUGGGCGGAAGCCUGAUGCAGCGACGCCGCGUGGGGGAUGACGGCCUUCGGGUGGUAAACUCCUUUCGACCGCGAGGAAGCCACCUGGUUGGAAGGGUGGUGACGGUAGUGGUAGAAGAAGCACCGGCUAACUACGUG